This 253-nucleotide ribosomal RNA is filed under the name uncultured bacterium. RNAcentral's name for it is "partial 16S ribosomal RNA". It matches the Rfam family "Bacterial small subunit ribosomal RNA", at positions 524 to 776 of the family's 1533-position model. The record is from RNAcentral.
UACGUAGGCAGCAAGCGUUGUUCGGAAUUACUGGGCGUAGAGAGUGUGUAGGCGGUGCUCUAAGUUUGGUGUGAAAUCUCCCGGCUCAACUGGGAGGGUGCAUCGAAAACUGGAGUGCUCGAGGGUGGGAGAGGUAAGCGGAAUUCCUGGUGUAGCGGUGAAAUGCGCAGAUAUCAGGAGGAACACCAAUUGCGAAGGCAGCUCGCUGGGACGUAACUGACGCUGAGACGCGAAAGCGUGGGGAGCAAACAGG